UGCAGCUGGAGUGGUUCUGUCUGUUUAAUGUAAAUAGCUGUGUAGAAUACAGAAGAGGACAGCUGCCUCACUGCUCAGGGCUGGCUGGAGUUGUGAUGAACUGCCAGGCCCUGAAACCACAGACUCCAGGUAUUGUCUGUGUGAUGGUUCUGAGAUGGGGAAACAAAGCUACCCACAGUACUGCUGGUCUGCAGGAGAAUUCAGAGCUGCUGCUGGGAUCACACACAGAACGUGAGGCUCAGCUAACCUCAGCAAUUUGAUCUGAACAAAUAAGCAAGGAGGGACGCAGGGAUUCAGUGAAUGAAAUUCUGACCUCAGCUCACAUGUUCAGGACUGAGUUCGACAGCAAAUAUUGAUCACCACACGGAGAACUUAAAGUGAGAGAGGAAAAGCCAAGGAGAGCUGGCACCUGACCUACAUGAGUGCUGGGAACUUUUCUUCUCUCUGCACAGUGCAAUAAAACGUUUUGCUUUUGUGAAGAAACA
RNAcentral lists this long non-coding RNA (485 nucleotides) under Numida meleagris (helmeted guineafowl). Its description in RNAcentral is "lncRNA (ENSNMEG00000000754.1)". The record is from RNAcentral. Lineage: Eukaryota; Metazoa; Chordata; Aves; Galliformes; Numididae.